CUAAGGCUCCAGAGGAAGCCACGGCUAACUCUGUGCCGGCAGCCGCGGUAAUACAGAGGCGGCAAGCGUUGUUCGGAAUUAUUGGGCGUAAAGAGCACGUAGGCGGCCUUGCAAGUCAGUUGUGAAAGCCUUCCGCUUAACGGAAGAAUGCCAGCUGAUACUACAGGGCUUGAGUACGGGAGGGGAGAGUGGAACUUCUGGUGGAGCGGUGAAAUGCGUAGAUAUCAGAAGGAACGCCGGCGGCGAAAGCGACUCUCUGGCCCGAAACUGACGCUGAGUGUGCGAAAGCUAGGGGAGCAAACGGGAUUAGAUACCCCGGUAGUCCUAGCCGUAAA
Molecule: ribosomal RNA, 335 nt
Filed under: uncultured Planctomycetales bacterium
Lineage: Bacteria; Pseudomonadati; Planctomycetota; Planctomycetia; Planctomycetales
Description: bacterial SSU rRNA
Rfam family: Bacterial small subunit ribosomal RNA
Source: RNAcentral